CCCUGAUGCACAAGGUACCCUAAUGAACUUUUUCAUUUUUAAAUUUUUAAAAUUUUCAUUUUUCCCUUACAGUUUUUUUAUAAAAAAAACUUUUUUAAACAUACAUUUAAAUAAAAUUUUAUCCUUCUUGUCUUUUCUUUUUAUUUUUUUAAAAA
This 155-nucleotide ribosomal RNA is filed under the name Ixodes persulcatus (taiga tick). RNAcentral's name for it is "partial 16S ribosomal RNA". Lineage: Eukaryota; Metazoa; Arthropoda; Arachnida; Ixodida; Ixodidae. The record is from RNAcentral.